Long non-coding RNA from Acinonyx jubatus (cheetah), 923 nucleotides. RefSeq lists it as uncharacterized. The record is from RefSeq and is a predicted model, not a curated record. The transcript is spliced from 4 exons. NCBI's taxonomy places the organism in Eukaryota, Metazoa, Chordata, Mammalia, Carnivora, Felidae.
UUUAGCUACCUCACGGGAAAGACCACUUGCGUGUCACCUGCCUGGGUCUGGCAGAAGGAGGGUCAAUUGAUUGGGUCGCCUUAGCAGUAAAUCUGGCCCAGUUGUUUCCACCUGAGAAAUCUGGAAAGAAUGCAAUGAAAAUGUCGGACUUCUCAAAGUUGCAGGACAAAUGAAGAACCGAAGAAUUUUCACUGAAGAGGGAAGAGCCCAAACACAAUCUGUUUGGUGUUUGAACAGACGUCAGUGUUACAGCCAUCAACGUACCUAAACUUUACAAAGCAUCUGGUAGAAAGAGAAGCACUGAAAUUGUCAGAGGAUCUACUCACUACAUCACUGUGGUGACCUGCAGAGAAGCAAUGCACAUGGACUUCCCAACAAUGUCAAGUAGCAGGUGACUACACAAGAUGGGGGAACGUCACCACAGCCAGCUCUCCAGACCCUCCACAGCCUGCUUUGUGUGAGGGCCACCAACUGGCUCAUAUCACCUUUCUAAUCAAGGCGAAGGACGAAGAAGCAAGAGCUGAAUUCUAAAGCUGAAAAAAAAAUUAGAGCAUACAUCACUUUGGAAAUGUGCUUGCUGACUCAGAGUGAUAUGGAGGUACAGCUAACAAUCAAAUUAAAUGCAGUUCUAGACAAGCUAACCAUACUCUAAAGCAAUCAGCAUGAUGUAUUUAUUCUCCAUUUCCUCUCUGUGGCUAGAGAUUCAAAGGAUAAAGUCAUUAAAAAUCUUUCAGAUGUUUGCUUUUUCUGGUGAAAUGAGAGCAUACCAGGUCUGGAAGGAGAAUGUUCUAGUUAACAGAACUUAUUAUUUAUACUUGAUGAAAAUAGUGAAAAAAGAAUCAAUCCAGUCCCUCAUCCAUAUGCAAGGAUCUUACAAUUGUUCAAAGGUGUAUAUUUGUACCACAAAUGAACCAAGGCCCCGU